This 1407-nucleotide long non-coding RNA is filed under the name Strongylocentrotus purpuratus (purple sea urchin). RNAcentral describes it as "uncharacterized LOC115928343, transcript variant X1". Lineage: Eukaryota; Metazoa; Echinodermata; Echinoidea; Camarodonta; Strongylocentrotidae. The record is from RNAcentral.
CGCGAGUCUACUGUCAAACUUGCCGAUCAACCGCAUCGUAUUUAUUGUGUACGUUCGUUUGUAAUUUGUGUAUAGACUAUUCAUGUGUGCGAUUGCUGCCUCCUAGCACGUAGUGCUGCGCUAGAGGUCUACACGCAUUAGCAUUGAUUGCAUGCAGUGACCGAGAGGUAUUGUUUUGAUUUCAGCCGAGCCGAGUGGAUCUUUGACUUUGUAAAACCCUCUAAAGAAACAAAGAAUAUGUAGGCAGGGCCAUGAAACCUUCAUGUAGCCUUACCUUCAAGUAACCUCCAGCUCCCCUUCUCAACUUCAUGACUUGGCAGAUGUCCUAAUGCAUGAUACACAUUGGUCGAGCAUUGAAGAACGGCCGACACUGCUGGCGGCCGCUGCCGAGCCUGGCCAGGCUUACGUGAUGUGACCUCGUACUUGGUGUUGAAGCUGUCUGGUCAUUCCCUCAGAGCGAUCACAGAUUCUACAUCCCACCAUGGCUCUGUGGAGUGUUCACCAACCCUAGUGCCCAAGCAGAUUUGUCUUCAUGCAACUAGAAUGGCGCUCCCUUAAAUAUGUCAACAUUGGCUACCAGUGUUCUUCAGUUUGGAUGGUGAUUUCAUAGUGAAGGAGUCAGGAAGCCCGAAAGUAGUGUAAAACUAGCACUCUGGUUACAAUAUGGUACACACGAUAGGGUUAACUUGUACUUAGUACAUUAAUUCCUGGUGUUCCAGAGAAUAGUGCUUUCAAUGCUUAGACAAUUUAAAGUAUAUGUUUUAGAAGUUGUGAAUAAGUGAAAAGUUCAGAUAAUUGGCAAUAGACCUGUUUCCUUACAUAUUCAAAUUUAUAUGCAUACUUUUUUAAUUACAUUUGAUGUUGCAUAGUACAACAUUACAUGUAUCAUUGCAACAUUACCUGCAUAUUUUGUGCCUAUUUUCGACUUGGUUAGUCCAUGUCAUACGUGCAUCUUCAUCAUUAUUAUGCAAGUUAUGAACUCCAUGUAGAUUUUCACAUUUCACUUGUUUCCAAUAAUGUUCAUUCAUGUACACAUUUGAACAAUUGCGUGUUAUUGGCGCAUGAUUGAACCAAAGAUGACAGUAAACAUAAAGUAAUGGCUUUCAAAACAGAUUGUUUUAUUAUUUAUACAAAGCUUUAUAUUUAUUGAAGAAGUAUUAGAUGUACAAUGAAAAGUAUGUGAGACAUGGAUAUAAGUAUUUAUUUGAGUCUUUCGUUUUUGUAUACAUGUUAAGUUAAGUAUACAAGUACAUUUAACACACAAAUAUACAGUGUUAUUGCAUUGAAGAAAAAAAAGAAGCAUUCCUGUUUUGUAUGCAAGUUACAUAAUGGAAGUAUCUUGCCUAUUGUAUCUGAAGUGAAGUGGCAAUUAUAAUAUGCAGAUUGAGAAUUGUUUUUAAAAUGAAA